Oncorhynchus keta (chum salmon) is the source of this 238-nucleotide long non-coding RNA. RefSeq lists it as uncharacterized. Lineage: Eukaryota; Metazoa; Chordata; Actinopteri; Salmoniformes; Salmonidae. The record is from RefSeq and is a predicted model, not a curated record. The transcript has 2 exons.
GGGGGGCUAUGUCAUAAACCCUCACAUUUCCAGAAUAGGGCUCCAUUUACCUACAGUAGUCUGAUGGAGGUGGGGGGGCUAUGUCAUAAACCCUCACAUUUCCAGAAUAGGGCUCCAUUUACCUACAGUAGUCUGAUGGAGGUGGGGGGGCUAUGUCAUAAACCCUCACAUUUCCAGAAUAGGGCCCCAUUUACCUACAGUAGUCUGAUGGAGGUGGGGGGGGAUAUGUCAUUAACCC